Molecule: long non-coding RNA, 1752 nt
Filed under: Sus scrofa (pig)
Lineage: Eukaryota; Metazoa; Chordata; Mammalia; Artiodactyla; Suidae
Description: lncRNA (ENSSSCG00070007079.1)
Rfam family: Small nucleolar RNA SNORD116 (bases 1561-1652)
Source: RNAcentral
GCGGAGACGGGAGGCCUGGGCUUGGGCAGCGGUGGCGGUGUCCUGGCCCCGCCGGUGACGGAGGGCUUUGAUGAGGCCCGGCGGCCGCGUGCUUGCCAGGAAGGCCCGGGGCUUGAGGCCCUGGAAGGCCUGGCCCGUUCAGGAGUCCCGGCUGUUUGGGGGAAUGUCCCACGCCCUGUGGGGAUUUGAGCCGUGUCUCCCGGCCGACUUGGGUGUCCCGGUUGGUGUGUGGUCGGGACUGGGAGGGGCUUGGUGCGGGCGGGAACCGCCGGGUAGCGACCACGUCUCGUCAGGGGGUUCGUGCCUGCUGCUGGGCACGGGAACGGCUCCGGGGGGGUCUUACGGGCGCUGAGGGGAUUCCGCAUCAUGGAGAGGUCAAGGGGAGUUGGUGGCCGUCACCCUUCGUCAGGGCAGGGUAGCAUCAGUGCUCCCGUGCUGGGGUUCCUGGAGAGCCGGCUGGCACGGACAGACUCUUGUGAGGGCAAGUGGCUGAUCGUGCGUCGGAUGGGUCCAGCAAAGGAGAGAAAGCUUCGGUGCGCGCGCGCUCGCCAGGGAAAGGGUGACAGCGGGUGGGACCGAGAGGGAGAGAGAGAGAGGGAGAGAACAAAGGAAGAGAGAGGGUUUCCGCAGGGGCGGUGAGUCCUGGCGGAAGUCCUGAGGCAGAGGAGGUGCCAGGGGUUUGGGUUUCCCGGUCGUGUCGGGGGUGUGGCGCAGGUUGCCCCAGUGGGCCUGAAUGUGCCUCCGUGGGGCACCUUGUUGCCGUGUUGGGGGGCGGGGAGCCGGCCUUGGGGAUCCAUCUUUCGGGCCCUGGGACGUGGGAGAAGAAUGCCGGGGCCUCUCUCUGUGCCCCUGGCACGCCUCUGUGCAGGCCGGGCCUGCACCCCCCGCCCGUCCCCCAGGCAGGGUCCGUGUGGCUGCAGACACCCAGAGAGAGGGGAGGCUGGGGAGGCUGGGGAGCCGUGGCAGCCCGAUGCAGUGCGGGUCUCCAGGUGGAGGGGCCCUGGUCCCCUGGCGCCAGCGUGGCCCUUCCUCCUUGUGGAAACCCUUGUGGUGUGUGUGCUCUCUCGCCCUGACCCAGGAGAGCAGCAUGGCGGACCCCUGAUCUUGUGGCGUGCCACCGCGCGAGGCCGAGGAGCUCCCGCAGCCCAGUGGGCGUGGCGUCCUUGUCGCGGCUCUGUGGAGACCUGGCGAUGGAGAGCAGCAUGGCGGACCCCUGAUCUUGUGGCGUGCCACCGCGCGAGGCCGAGGAGCUCCCGCAGACCAGUGGGCGUGGCGUCCUUGUCGCGGCUCUGUGGAGACCUGGCGAUGGUGAGCGGCCCCUGUCCUCAGUGGUGGAGAACUCGCCCUUGGGGCGCUCGUCUGUCCGGAGCCCCGGGCCAGCCCCGCUUCUCGCGGGCUUUGGCCCCGGCAGGCCAGCUCCGGGGGCGUGAGGGGGAGCGUCCCGUCCUGCCCAGUGGCUCGUCUGUCUGGGCACGCCCCCAAACGCUGCCGUGAUGGAGCGGGUGGGAUGUCCAGGUGCGGAGGCCGUGAAUUUGCCUUGCGGCGGCGGAGCCCGUGCUCGGAUCGAUGAUGACUCCCUCUAAAGCAUUCCUUGGAAAUCUGAACAAAAUGAGUGAGAACUCACUACCGUCUCCUCAUCGAAACUGAGGUCCGGCACGUGGCGGCCACCGGGGGCUCGGGGGUAGAUGGGCCCUUGGCCUUGGGGCCUCUGGUGUCAGCAGCCACUCGGGUGAGGGCUGGGGAAGGCGGCCG